Molecule: ribosomal RNA, 460 nt
Filed under: uncultured bacterium
Lineage: Bacteria
Description: partial 16S ribosomal RNA
Rfam family: Bacterial small subunit ribosomal RNA
Source: RNAcentral
CCUACGGGUGGCAGCAGUGAGGAAUAUUGGUCAAUGGACGAGAGUCUGAACCAGCCAAGUAGCGUGAAGGAUGACUGCCCUAUGGGUUGUAAACUUCUUUUAUAUGGGAAUAAAAUGUUCCACGUGUGGGAUUUUGUAUGUACCAUAUGAAUAAGGAUCGGCUAACUCCGUGCCAGCAGCCGCGGUAAUACGGAGGAUCCGAGCGUUAUCCGGAUUUAUUGGGUUUAAAGGGAGCGUAGGUGGUUUGUUAAGUCAGUUGUGAAAGUUUGCGGCUCAACCGUAAAAUUGCAGUUGAAACUGGCAGUCUUGAGUACAGUAGAGGUGGGCGGAAUUCGUGGUGUAGCGGUGAAAUGCGUAGAUAUCACGAAGAACUCCGAUUGCGAAGGCAGUUCACUGGACUGCAACUGACACUGAGGCUCGAAAGUGUGGGUAUCAAACAGGAUUAGAUACCCGUGUAGUC